Molecule: transfer RNA, 84 nt
Filed under: Komagataella phaffii CBS 7435
Lineage: Eukaryota; Fungi; Ascomycota; Pichiomycetes; Pichiales; Pichiaceae
Description: tRNA-Leu
Rfam family: tRNA
About the family: Transfer RNA (tRNA) molecules are approximately 80 nucleotides in length. Their secondary structure includes four short double-helical elements and three loops (D, anti-codon, and T loops).
Source: RNAcentral
GGACGUGUGGCCGAGAGGUCUAAGGCGCUAGCUUCAGGAAUGCUAGUCUCUUCGGAGGCGUGAGUUCGAACCUCACCGCGUUCA